Molecule: long non-coding RNA, 608 nt
Filed under: Coturnix japonica (Japanese quail)
Lineage: Eukaryota; Metazoa; Chordata; Aves; Galliformes; Phasianidae
Description: lncRNA (ENSCJPG00005000628.1)
Source: RNAcentral
AGGAGGCAGGCUCUAUGGGGGCACAGUAGUGAAUCUAUGGGGCAAGGCUCUAUAGGAGGCACAGCUGAUGCAUAUGGGGCAGGCUCUAUGGGGCACACUGCUCUAUGGGGCACACUGAUCUAUGGGGCAGGCUCUAAUGGGGGCACAAUCGUGAUUCUUAUGGGGGCACACUGAUUAUGGGGCAGGCUCUCUGGGGCACACUGAUCUAUGGGGCACACUGAUCUAUGGGGCACACUGAUCUAUGGGGCAGGCUCUAUGGGGCACAGUGUGAUCUAUGGGGCACACUGAUCUAUGGGGCAGGCUCUAUGGGGCACACUGAUCUAUGGGGCACACUGAUCUAUGGGGCAGGCCUCUAUGGCAGGCUCUAUGGGCACAGUGUGUAUCUAUGGGCAGGGCUCUAUGGGGCACACUGCUCUAUGGGGCACCCACUGGAUCUAUGGGGGCAGGCGCUAUGGGGCAGGCUCUAUGGGGCACACUGAUCUAUGGGGCAGGCUCUCUGGGGCACACUGAUCUAUGGGGCACACUGAUCUAGGGGCACACUAUCUAUAUGGGGCAGGCUCUAUGGGGCACACUGAUCGAUGGGGCACACUGAUCUAUGCGGGCACACU